UUGACCUCGGAUCAGGUAGGGAUACCCGCUGAACUUAAACA
RNAcentral lists this ribosomal RNA (41 nucleotides) under Trichophyton violaceum. RNAcentral's name for it is "partial 28S ribosomal RNA". Lineage: Eukaryota; Fungi; Ascomycota; Eurotiomycetes; Onygenales; Arthrodermataceae. The record is from RNAcentral.